UACGAAGGGGGCUAGCGUUGCUCGGAAUCACUGGGCGUAAAGCGCACGUAGGCGGAUUCUUAAGUCAGGGGUGAAAUCCUGGAGCUCAACUCCAGAACUGCCUUUGAUACUGGGAGUCUCGAGUCCGGGAGAGGUGAGUGGAACUGCGAGUGUAGAGGUGAAAUUCGUAGAUAUUCGCAAGAACACCAGUGGCGAAGGCGGCUCACUGGUCCGGUACUGACGCUGAGGUGCGAAAGCGUGGGAGCAACAG
RNAcentral lists this ribosomal RNA (250 nucleotides) under uncultured bacterium. Its description in RNAcentral is "partial 16S ribosomal RNA". It matches the Rfam family "Bacterial small subunit ribosomal RNA", at positions 524 to 775 of the family's 1533-position model. The record is from RNAcentral.